Chiloscyllium plagiosum (whitespotted bambooshark) is the source of this 578-nucleotide non-coding RNA. The record is from RefSeq and is a predicted model, not a curated record. Lineage: Eukaryota; Metazoa; Chordata; Chondrichthyes; Orectolobiformes; Hemiscylliidae.
CAGACUCAAGAAGCCAAAUGGCCUACACUCCUGCACGCAGUUGUUGUGUACUUACAUGCGAACAUCUUGCAAGAUCAUGGUUCAAGAAGCCAGUUCUAAGAUCAAGCCUCAACAGUUGCACUUCAACUAAUCCACUAAAGAAAAAGCUUGGACACAGCUACAAUGGAGACCUGCAAAGCUAAAGUGACAACAUCUUUUGAUGGCUAAUGUCAAUUGUUAUAAAAUGGCUAUAACCAUCAACACUAUAUGUACCGAAAGACAGGUCGACACUGAAAGCAGAAUCACAUGCCAACAUAUUACCAACAUGCAUCCUUAAAGGGAUGUACCUCAACAAGUAGCACAUCAUAGUACAGCCAAUAAAAGACCGCCUCAGUGUAUAAUGAAUUGUCAAUUCCAUGCAGUGGCACAAUCACACUGCAAUACUAAUAUGAAAGUUCAGCUUGGACUGCAGUCUAAAUUGGAAAUCUGCCAGGUAAAUACGGAUGGUCCAGCAGUGGCAGGAGUACCAGUCUGCAGAGCUGAAUACUACAACCAGCUGAGAUUCAAACCACACCCACUAUGGUGAGAAUGAUAGACAG